RNAcentral lists this long non-coding RNA (350 nucleotides) under Setaria viridis. Its description in RNAcentral is "long non-coding RNA (SVIR_LNC002493)". The record is from RNAcentral. Lineage: Eukaryota; Viridiplantae; Streptophyta; Magnoliopsida; Poales; Poaceae.
GUGGGUAAGUGCAGAAUAUCAAACAGCACUGGUGCUCCGGUGUUGAGGAUUACACACGAUGGCAAUAUCACUACUUGAUUACGAUGACAUUUAUUAUAAUCUCCUGUUACCGACAAGACUGCGAGCUAGCUAGUAAAGUGGUCUGGAUUCCUCUCAGUCACAGGUAAUCCUCACAGUCACAGCAAACUGCAACCUCUUUUACUGCACACACUUGGAGAAGAGUGAUCUCAGCUGUUCUAGUUACUACAUACUGUGUUCUAGUGAUUACCAACAUGCAAACUGCAAUCUCUUUUGCUUGAGAAUUAAGAUUACUGGAUGGUUGACUUUUCUCAUUAGAAGAUUAAUGUUCU